This 1030-nucleotide long non-coding RNA is filed under the name Bos taurus (domestic cattle). Its description in RNAcentral is "long non-coding RNA NONBTAT021892". The record is from RNAcentral. Lineage: Eukaryota; Metazoa; Chordata; Mammalia; Artiodactyla; Bovidae.
UUUUGGCAGUUAAGGGAAAGAACUGAUUUACAAGCCAUAAGAACAUCUUCUUACUUUCCACAAACAAGUUAUAGAAUUAAUUAAAAUUGUAGCACAUCAACUCUGCACAUGAAACAGCUCUGUUACUGGAGACAAAAUUAAUGCAAAUAUGUGGAAAGUCAAAUAGUUUACAACAAAGAUAAUUUAGAUGGGUAGAUCAGAUAACAACUUGGAACUGAGCCCGACAGAAGUAUUUUUACUCAAAGGUGGCAAGUGCUGAAUGUUAUAUUCCAAAACAAGCAAGGGAAAUACUGAAUUUUAAUCUAGUGCCAAAAUGAUUUUAAAAAGUCCUUUACAUAAAUGUUUAAACAUAUCUUACUUGAAGAAAUUACAAAGACCUGUAAGACUAUCAAGGACUCUUUUAAAUAAAUGAGGAAGACUAUGUAAAUGGCAUGAAAGACAAUAUGAAAUUUGCAUUUAAUCCUAUUGAUGUUCCACUAACUACUCAAAGAAUAUGCAUCCACCUAUAACAUUUCAUCCUCAUGAAGACAUAUACAAAGGCAUUAAAGAAAGGUGGCCUCUUUAUACCUGUACACUGUUGAGACUAAUGGUGUUUAACACUAUGAGAUUUAUUAUCUCUAAAACAAGGAUAAACAAUGACAGGAACAGAAAAGUAAAACUUUUCAUGAGCUAAUGGAUUUAAUCUUAUUGGUAAAACAAUGGCAAUUGUGUCCUUAUACAAUACAAAUGUAAAUAAAGUAAAAGGACAGAGUUGAGAUAAAAUGAUGAAAACGGAAAUUUGUCUUCUGAGUCACCAGCUUCUCUCUCCUUCAGUUCUUUUAGUAAGUCCAAGAAGGAUGCAUCAGUAUACGGGCAGAGAGGAAACGUGGAGAUCAGAAGGAACAUCCUACAGUUACUACCAUCCUGAUGACAGAGAACUACUCUGCUUGUGGUUUAAAGAGUCCCCAGCAAUGGCUGGGAGCAUAAGACCUUGGGUAAUAUCAAUUUAGAUGAUGUAAAGCAAUUCCAGUUGUAGCAGAGCUAUGUCCUC